CGGCGUGCUUAACACAUGCAAGUCGAACGGAAAGGCCCUGCUUUUGUGGGGUGCUCGAGUGGCGAACGGGUGAGUAACACGUGAGUAACCUGCCCUUGACUUUGGGAUAACUUCAGGAAACUGGGGCUAAUACCGGAUAGGAGCUCCUGCUGCAUGGUGGGGGUUGGAAAGUUUCGGCGGUUGGGGAUGGACUCGCGGCUUAUCAGCUUGUUGGUGGGGUAGUGGCUUACCAAGGCUUUGACGGGUAGCCGGCCUGAGAGGGUGACCGGCCACAUUGGGACUGAGAUACGGCUCAGACUCCUACGGGAGGCAGCAGUGGGGAAUAUUGCACAAUGGGCGGAAGCCUGAUGCAGCAACGCCGCGUGCGGGAUGACGGCCUUCGGGUUGUAAACCGCUUUCGCCUGUGACGAAGCGUGAGUGACGGUAAUGGGUAAAGAAGCACCGGCUAACUACGUGCCAGCAGCCGCGGUGAUACGUAGGGUGCGAGCGUUGUCCGGAUUUAUUGGGCGUAAAGGGCUCGUAGGUGGUUGAUCGCGUCGGAAGUGUAAUCUUGGGGCUUAACCCUGAGCGUGCUUUCGAUACGGGUUGACUUGAGGAAGGUAGGGGAGAAUGGAAUUCCUGGUGGAGCGGUGGAAUGCGCAGAUAUCAGGAGGAACACCAGUGGCGAAGGCGGUUCUCUGGGCCUUUCCUGACGCUGAGGAGCGAAAGCGUGGGGAGCGAACAGGCUUAGAUACCCUGGUAGUCCACGCUGUAAACGGUGGGUACUAGGUGUGGGGUCCAUUCCACGGGUUCCGUGCCGUAGCUAACGCUUUAAGUACCCCGCCUGGGGAGUACGGCCGCAAGGCCAAAACUCAAAGGAAUUGACGGGGCCCCGCACAAGCGGCGGAGCAUGCGGAUUAAUUCGAUGCAACGCGUAGAACCUUACCUGGGUUUGACAUGGAUCGGGAGUGCUCAGAGAUGGGUGUGCCUCUUUUGGGGUCGGUUCACAGGUGGUGCAUGGCUGUCGUCAGCUCGUGUCGUGAGAUGUUGGGUUAAGUCCCGCAACGAGCGCAACCCUUGUUCACUGUUGCCAGCACGUUAUGGUGGGGACUCAGUGGAGACCGCCGGGGUCGACUCGGAGGAAGGUGGGGAUGACGUCAAGUCAUCAUGCCCCUUAUGUCCAGGGCUUCACGCAUGCUACAAUGGCUGGUACAGAGAGUGGCGAGCCUGUGAGGGUGAGCGAAUCUCGGAAAGCCGGUCUCAGUUCGGAUUGGGGUCUGCAACUCGACCUCAUGAAGUCGGAGUCGCUAGUAAUCGCAGAUCAGCAACGCUGCGGUGAAUACGUUCCCGGGGCUUGUACACACCGCCCGUCAAGUCAUGAAAGUUGGUAACACCCGAAGCCGGUGGCCUAACCGUUGUGGGGGAGCCGUCGAAGGUGGGACUGGUGAUUAGGACUAAGUC
This 1440-nucleotide ribosomal RNA is filed under the name uncultured organism. RNAcentral's name for it is "16S ribosomal RNA". It matches the Rfam family "Bacterial small subunit ribosomal RNA". The record is from RNAcentral.